RNAcentral lists this long non-coding RNA (3127 nucleotides) under Triticum aestivum (bread wheat). Its description in RNAcentral is "long non-coding RNA (TAES_LNC025723)". The record is from RNAcentral. Lineage: Eukaryota; Viridiplantae; Streptophyta; Magnoliopsida; Poales; Poaceae.
CCAACGAUAUGAUCAACCGAUGGAAGAUCAAAUGGCAUGAUGUAUCAAUAUGAAGGCAAGUUUUAGCACAUGUAACAGAACAACCGAUUAUCUGGCCGGUUCAAGAGUAAGAAGAAACAUUCAAUAUGUACCAGAAGAGUAACAUCGAUCAUCAAGUUAAACAUGGGCAUGAGACUAUCAAAGUUAACCCGUGCCAGAAGCAAGGCAGCAUCCACUACGGUCAUACGAAUAGAAAAACUAAUUAGUUAACAUUAAGUUCAGUAAUAUGAGCAGAAACAUAAGAAAGAAAAGGCCAACAAUGGCAAUGGAGGCAAUAAAACUACGAAGCCAUAGUUAGGCAUACAAUAGAUAGCUUGGCUCAAUUGCCUCCGUGAGUGCAUACAAUACAUGUUGACCAUAUCUUAAUCAUGAUAGAUCCAGUUUUCUGAAAAUAUAAACAACGAAGCUUCUAUCAAGCCUAAACCCACUACUGGAAGCAAAGUAAAUUUCCUUAUAUGCAGUGACUCUACCGUCAGUUUGGUUUGUUUGCCUGUGUGGGUGUUGACUUGCUUCAGAAGUCAUAGAUACAAAUAGAAGCAUAAUAUGUGGUUUUAGAAAAUAUAUCAAGUUCUAAAGAUAAAUAAAACUACUUUCAGUAUAUAUAGUAGAUGCCAUUGCAGAUAGCACUCCAAUACUAACAUUAGAAAAGGUAAUCUGGUUUUGGUCACACCAUCAAAAAAUUAGAUAAACACCAGAUGGCAAACAAAAUACAUGUUAAGCCUUCAUCCUUGUGAUUAUUGUUUUUCUUGUUCCAGAGCUCCUGUACAAAUGAUUUACAUGGUGAUCCGGAAAAAGUUGAAGCAAGCAUAUAAAUAGUGACCCUCCUAGUGAGUGAACAAAAUGUAAAAAAAACUCAUUUUCAUUUAGUGCAAACUAUGAUUCAAUCUUUUUUCUUUUUCCAACAAAAAUGUUAAUAUUCAGAAGGUAGUUGGAGACAAGGCUACACCUUAUGAAGGUUUUAAUCUUACGGUUCAAUGAAUUGCAUAGGCAGAGCACACAGUUGAUGGAUUCAAACUAUUUUUAAGAGAUGAUGUGGCAAGGCUAAGAAGAUGAAAAUAAUUAAGAAGAAAAGUUCAUGCUCAACAACUUACGAAGAUUUAACUGGGUAGUGCCUCAUGGCAGUCAUCAACCUUUGAGCCGUAGAACCGUAAGAUCAAACUGAGACUCAAGCCUGCAUAACCAUAGCAAGAAAAGGAUCAUCAACAAAGAGGACAAAGUGAAUCAGGAACCAGUUCCUGGUUCCUCUAAAAAAUCAUUCUAAAUGACAAAUUGUGAGAAGAAAAAAGAACUGGUCUAAUGACAUAGAUGUGUUAAACGGCAAACACUACCAAGUCAGAUCAAAUACUCAGCCUAUUUCUGUCCUUUUUCAAUAUUAAGAACGAUUAUUAGGUAACCAAGUACAUAACAAAAACAAAUAAUGCCUACAUAGUAGCUCAUCUCUCUUAAUGCAUCUACACUGAUUUUGAUGUAUAGUUUAGGACCAAUGGAAAACCAGAAAAACACAAACAACUCACACAAUAAAGCUAAUACUAAAUACUGCACGCCGUCGAGACCUAUCUGGCGUGCAACAUCUGUCACUACAGAAGGACAUCGGCGUCAAUCACAGCGGUAGGGCCAUCAGCAUAGCCAACACGAAUUGCAGGCCGAACCACGGUCGCAGCUACUGACUCCAACAUAUUUUUGAACGUAGAUAUGAUACAUGAUUGAGAAUACCUAAUCAGUAAAGCACCACUACCCAACCAUAAACAUAGAGGAAGUAAUAUGAGCCGAAAUCUCUAAUGGCAUGAAAAAAUUAGAGCAUGUUUGACAUAUCAUUUUAAACUACAAAUAUGAAAUAAACUACAGCCAAGAAAGAAAACUAAGUAGCUAGAGAGCAUACACUGCUUUCUAAUAGGAAAGAAGGUAAUUUAACUGGCAAGGUACUGCCACUGACUCCAACAUGAAAGAAUGAAGAAAACUUUUUUAAUCAACCUCUGCCAUGCUCAUGUUUCUUUUGUAGUCAGUAGAGUAGUUGCAACCAUGCGCAUAUCACUAAGCAAAAAAAAGAGAAGGUCACGACUUACUUAAUGUUUGACGGCGGCAAGAGCCACGAUGGCAUCGGCGGCGGUGGUGGCGUCCGAUCGCCAACAACCAUGCAUAUAUCAAGUGCCAUGAUAUGUGAGGCAAGACAUAGGAAUACAAGAGGGAAACAAAACAGAGGCACACAUGAUGCAUACUUUACCAUACAAACUUAAGGCAGCAAGAGAGGCCCCUAUAACUUGCUGGGAGCAUGUCUUUCUAGUAUAACAAAGUGCAGCUUACUCUUAACCAGAUUAAAUCAAGGACCAACAACAAACAAUAAAAGAUCAAGAACAACUCAUAUGCAAUAAAGGUAUGAGAGAGAAGAAAUCUUUACAUAAGACGACUAUAAACACCGGAGCAUAAAUAAGCAACACCUUUAAAUACAAAUAAAAAGGAUCCAGGGUUCAUUGCAUAGUGGGCUCAGAUCUGACUUUCCUCGAUCAUAUAACCUACCCCCGUCUCUUAUCACCAGAUCAAUCUUUUUAUACAGUGGAGCUUCCCUGGUUAUCACUCAACAAGAAUGACCAUCCAAGGACAGAGCAACAAGUAUCACAGGAUCAAAAAGGAUUCUAGAGACAAGAGGGAGGAUUCAACUUGAUACCCACAUGUGCCUCGAUUGCUCGAAGGCACACUUAUUUCAGACACGGCUAAUCAUCAUCGCCCCAGCACGAAAGCCAUCGGAGCAUAAAUAAGUAACACCUUUAAGUACAAAUAAAAAUAGUUCAGGGUUCAUUGCAUUGUGGGCUCAGAUUCGGCUUUCCUCGAUCAUAUAACCUACCCCCGUCAUCUUUUAUCAUAGAUCAAUCUGUUUAUACAAUGGAGCUGCCCUGGUUAUCACUCAACAAGAAUGACCAUCCUAGGACAGAACAACAAGUAUCACAGGAUCAAAAAGGACUCCAGAGACAAGAGGGAGGAUCCAGCUUGAUACCCACGGGUGCCUCGAUUGCUCAAAGGCACACUUAUUUCAGUCAAGGUUGUCAGGACCCGAGUGCCUCUGUCUGAAGAUCCGAUCGCUGCAAAUAGGAUU